UACGUAGGCAGCGAGCGUUGUUCGGAAUUCCUGGGCGUAAAGAGUGUGUAGGCGGUGUUCCAAGUUCGGUGUGAAAUCUCCCGGCUUAACUGGGAGGGUGCGCCGAAAACUGGAAUGCUCGAGCGUGGGAGAGGAAAGCGGAAUUCCUGGUGUAGCGGUGAAAUGCGUAGAUAUCAGGAGGAACACCAGCGGUGUAGACGGCUUUCUGGACCAUUGCUGACGCUGAGACACGAAAGCGUGGGUAGCAAACAGG
This 253-nucleotide ribosomal RNA is filed under the name uncultured bacterium. Its description in RNAcentral is "partial 16S ribosomal RNA". It matches the Rfam family "Bacterial small subunit ribosomal RNA", at positions 524 to 776 of the family's 1533-position model. The record is from RNAcentral.